This 2895-nucleotide ribosomal RNA is filed under the name Escherichia coli DEC15A. Its description in RNAcentral is "bacterial LSU rRNA". It matches the Rfam family "Bacterial large subunit ribosomal RNA". Lineage: Bacteria; Pseudomonadati; Pseudomonadota; Gammaproteobacteria; Enterobacterales; Enterobacteriaceae. The record is from RNAcentral.
UUAAGCGACUAAGCGUACACGGUGGAUGCCCUGGCAGUCAGAGGCGAUGAAGGACGUGCUAAUCUGCGAUAAGCGUCGGUAAGGUGAUAUGAACCGUUAUAACCGGCGAUUUCCGAAUGGGGAAACCCAGUGUGAUUCGUCACACUAUCAUUAACUGAAUCCAUAGGUUAAUGAGGCGAACCGGGGGAACUGAAACAUCUAAGUACCCCGAGGAAAAGAAAUCAACCGAGAUUCCCCCAGUAGCGGCGAGCGAACGGGGAGCAGCCCAGAGCCUGAAUCAGUGUGUGUGUUAGUGGAAGCGUCUGGAAAGGCGCGCGAUACAGGGUGACAGCCCCGUACACAAAAAUGCACAUGCUGUGAGCUCGAUGAGUAGGGCGGGACACGUGGUAUCCUGUCUGAAUAUGGGGGGACCAUCCUCCAAGGCUAAAUACUCCUGACUGACCGAUAGUGAACCAGUACCGUGAGGGAAAGGCGAAAGAACCCGGCGAGGGAGUGAAAAGAACCUGAAACCGUGUACGUACAAGCAGUGGAGCACGCUUAGGCGUGUGACUGCGUACCUUUUGAUAAUGGGUCAGCGACUUAUAUUCUGUAGCAAGGUUAACCGAAUAGGGGAGCCGAAGGGAAACCGAGUCUAACUGGGCGUUAAGUUGCAGGGUAUAGACCCGAAACCCGGUGAUCUAGCCAUGGGCAGGUUGAAGGUUGGGUAACACUAACUGGAGGACCGAACCGACUAAUGUUGAAAAAUUAGCGGAUGACUUGUGGCUGGGGGUGAAAGGCCAAUCAAACCGGGAGAUAGCUGGUUCUCCCCGAAAGCUAUUUAGGUAGCGCCUCGUGAAUUCAUCUCCGGGGGUAGAGCACUGUUUCGGCAAGGGGGUCAUCCCGACUUACCAACCCGAUGCAAACUGCGAAUACCGGAGAAUGUUAUCACGGGAGACACACGGCGGGUGCUAACGUCCGUCGAGAAGAGGGAAACAACCCAGACCGCCAGCUAAGGUCCCAAAGUCAUGGUUAAGUGGGAAACGAUGUGGGAAGGCCCAGACAGCCAGGAUGUUGGCUUAGAAGCAGCCAUCAUUUAAAGAAAGCGUAAUAGCUCACUGGUCGAGUCGGCCUGCGCGGAAGAUGUAACGGGGCUAAACCAUGCACCGAAGCUGCGGCAGCGACGCUUAUGCGUUGUUGGGUAGGGGAGCGUUCUGUAAGCCUGCGAAGGUGUGCUGUGAGGCAUGCUGGAGGUAUCAGAAGUGCGAAUGCUGACAUAAGUAACGAUAAAGCGGGUGAAAAGCCCGCUCGCCGGAAGACCAAGGGUUCCUGUCCAACGUUAAUCGGGGCAGGGUGAGUCGACCCCUAAGGCGAGGCCGAAAGGCGUAGUCGAUGGGAAACAGGUUAAUAUUCCUGUACUUGGUGUUACUGCGAAGGGGGGACGGAGAAGGCUAUGUUGGCCGGGCGACGGUUGUCCCGGUUUAAGCGUGUAGGCUGGUUUUCCAGGCAAAUCCGGAAAAUCAAGGCUGAGGCGUGAUGACGAGGCACUACGGUGCUGAAGCAACAAAUGCCCUGCUUCCAGGAAAAGCCUCUAAGCAUCAGGUAACAUCAAAUCGUACCCCAAACCGACACAGGUGGUCAGGUAGAGAAUACCAAGGCGCUUGAGAGAACUCGGGUGAAGGAACUAGGCAAAAUGGUGCCGUAACUUCGGGAGAAGGCACGCUGAUAUGUAGGUGAAGUCCCUCGCGGAUGGAGCUGAAAUCAGUCGAAGAUACCAGCUGGCUGCAACUGUUUAUUAAAAACACAGCACUGUGCAAACACGAAAGUGGACGUAUACGGUGUGACGCCUGCCCGGUGCCGGAAGGUUAAUUGAUGGGGUCAGCGCAAGCGAAGCUCUUGAUCGAAGCCCCGGUAAACGGCGGCCGUAACUAUAACGGUCCUAAGGUAGCGAAAUUCCUUGUCGGGUAAGUUCCGACCUGCACGAAUGGCGUAAUGAUGGCCAGGCUGUCUCCACCCGAGACUCAGUGAAAUUGAACUCGCUGUGAAGAUGCAGUGUACCCGCGGCAAGACGGAAAGACCCCGUGAACCUUUACUAUAGCUUGACACUGAACAUUGAGCCUUGAUGUGUAGGAUAGGUGGGAGGCUUUGAAGUGUGGACGCCAGUCUGCAUGGAGCCGACCUUGAAAUACCACCCUUUAAUGUUUGAUGUUCUAACGUUGACCCGUAAUCCGGGUUGCGGACAGUGUCUGGUGGGUAGUUUGACUGGGGCGGUCUCCUCCUAAAGAGUAACGGAGGAGCACGAAGGUUGGCUAAUCCUGGUCGGACAUCAGGAGGUUAGUGCAAUGGCAUAAGCCAGCUUGACUGCGAGCGUGACGGCGCGAGCAGGUGCGAAAGCAGGUCAUAGUGAUCCGGUGGUUCUGAAUGGAAGGGCCAUCGCUCAACGGAUAAAAGGUACUCCGGGGAUAACAGGCUGAUACCGCCCAAGAGUUCAUAUCGACGGCGGUGUUUGGCACCUCGAUGUCGGCUCAUCACAUCCUGGGGCUGAAGUAGGUCCCAAGGGUAUGGCUGUUCGCCAUUUAAAGUGGUACGCGAGCUGGGUUUAGAACGUCGUGAGACAGUUCGGUCCCUAUCUGCCGUGGGCGCUGGAGAACUGAGGGGGGCUGCUCCUAGUACGAGAGGACCGGAGUGGACGCAUCACUGGUGUUCGGGUUGUCAUGCCAAUGGCACUGCCCGGUAGCUAAAUGCGGAAGAGAUAAGUGCUGAAAGCAUCUAAGCACGAAACUUGCCCCGAGAUGAGUUCUCCCUGACUCCUUGAGAGUCCUGAAGGAACGUUGAAGACGACGACGUUGAUAGGCCGGGUGUGUAAGCGCAGCGAUGCGUUGAGCUAACCGGUACUAAUGAACCGUGAGGCUUAACCUU